AGAUGACGAGUGGCGGACGGGUGAGUAAUGCUUGGGAACUUGCCUUUGCGAGGGGGAUAACAGUUGGAAACGACUGCUAAUACCGCAUAAUGUCUACGGACCAAACGGGGCUUAGGCUCCGGCGCAAAGAGAGGCCCAAGUGAGAUUAGCUAGUUGGUAAGGUAAUGGCUUACCAAGGCAACGAUCUCUAGCUGUUCUGAGAGGAAGAUCAGCCACACUGGAACUGAGACACGGUCCAGACUCCUACGGGAGGCAGCAGUGGGGAAUAUUGCACAAUGGGGGAAACCCUGAUGCAGCCAUGCCGCGUGUGUGAAGAAGGCCUUCGGGUUGUAAAGCACUUUCAGUUGUGAGGAAAAGUUAGUAGUUAAUACCUGCUAGCCGUGACGUUAACAACAGAAGAAGCACCGGCUAACUCCGUGCCAGCAGCCGCGGUAAUACGGAGGGUGCGAGCGUUAAUCGGAAUUACUGGGCGUAAAGCGCACGCAGGCGGUUUGUUAAGCUAGAUGUGAAAGCCCCGGGCUCAACCUGGGAUAGUCAUUUAGAACUGGCAGACUAGAGUCUUGGAGAGGGGAGUGGAAUUCCAGGUGUAGCGGUGAAAU
This 599-nucleotide ribosomal RNA is filed under the name Alteromonas australica. RNAcentral describes it as "bacterial SSU rRNA". It matches the Rfam family "Bacterial small subunit ribosomal RNA", at positions 86 to 687 of the family's 1533-position model. The record is from RNAcentral. Lineage: Bacteria; Pseudomonadati; Pseudomonadota; Gammaproteobacteria; Alteromonadales; Alteromonadaceae.